This 178-nucleotide antisense RNA is filed under the name Fischerella thermalis JSC-11. RNAcentral's name for it is "Fischerella sp. JSC-11 Antisense RNA which regulates isiA expression". It matches the Rfam family "Antisense RNA which regulates isiA expression". Lineage: Bacteria; Bacillati; Cyanobacteriota; Cyanophyceae; Nostocales; Hapalosiphonaceae. The record is from Rfam by way of RNAcentral.
GAUAGCCAAAGAUAGCACCUGGAUUCAGUGUCGGAUUUGUAAUUACCCUGACAUUUUCAAUGUUUGGAUCGUACAAACCACCAAAGUACAUUGCUUUAGCAACUAACAAAAAUGCACCACAACCGAGUAACACCAAGUGAAUACCAAGGAUUGUGGUCAUUUUGUCGGUAUCCUUCCA